Molecule: ribosomal RNA, 254 nt
Filed under: uncultured bacterium
Lineage: Bacteria
Description: partial 16S ribosomal RNA
Rfam family: Bacterial small subunit ribosomal RNA
Source: RNAcentral
UACGUAGGGGGCGAGCGUUGUCCGGAUUUAUUGGGCGUAAAGAGCUCGUAGGCGGUUUGGUAAGUCGGGUGUGAAAUCUCCACGCUCAACGUGGAGGGGCCACUCGAUACUGCCAUGACUCGAGUCCGGUAGAGGAGUGUGGAAUUCCCGGUGUAGCGGUGAAAUGCGUAGAUAUCGGGAAGAACACCCGUGGCGAAGGCGGUUCUCUGGGACGGUACUGACGCUGAGACGCGAAAGCGUGGGGAGCAAACAGG